This 292-nucleotide ribosomal RNA is filed under the name uncultured bacterium. Its description in RNAcentral is "partial 16S ribosomal RNA". It matches the Rfam family "Bacterial small subunit ribosomal RNA", at positions 505 to 796 of the family's 1533-position model. The record is from RNAcentral.
GUUUCAGCCGCCGCGGUAAUACGUAGGGGGCAAGCGUUGUCCGGAUUUAUUGGGCGUAAAGAGCGUGUAGGCGGCCAGAUAAGUCUGCUGUGAAAACUCGAGGCUCAACCUCGAGCUGUCGGCGGAAACUAUUUGGCUAGAGUCCGGAAGAGGAAAGCGGAAUUCCUGGUGUAGCGGUGAAAUGCGCAGAUAUCAGGAAGAACACCCGUGGCGAAGGCGGCUUUCUGGGACGGUACUGACGCUGAGACGCGAAAGCGUGGGGAGCGAACAGGAUUAGAAACCCGGGUAGUCC